Numida meleagris (helmeted guineafowl) is the source of this 2381-nucleotide long non-coding RNA. RefSeq lists it as uncharacterized. The record is from RefSeq and is a predicted model, not a curated record. The transcript is spliced from 3 exons. NCBI's taxonomy places the organism in Eukaryota, Metazoa, Chordata, Aves, Galliformes, Numididae.
UCUUCUACACUGAGAAGCGCUGCUAAUAUAUACUAAUUGCAUUGAUUAUGCCAGUAUUAAAUAUCACCAUCUGUUUUUAUCUGAGGUCAAUGCCACUAAAGGAUUUUAACCUCUUCAAGAUAUUUCUGUAAUUUCAGAGGUGAUGGUAUGGAUUUCAGGUCCUAUUUUGCUUCAAGGAACACCUACCUGAGUGGUGGUCAAACGUGGUUGGGCCUUCUUAACUCUUCUUUUUUGUUGUAAAUGUUGAAGAAUUAAGGUAAAGUGGAAUAGGCAGCUUGUGUAUGUAACUGUCCAAAUUGGGCAGGUGACUUAGUGAUGAAGGAAAUAGCAAAACCUGAGGUGCGCAGGGGCAUCUUUCCUGUCCAGGUUGUGCUGAGGCCUCCCAUGUCUCUGAGGGCUUUAGGGGGAAAAGGAUUCAUAGUUGGUGAUGACAGACUUAGAAAUCAUCUAACUGAAGUGAUGUUUUGAGUAUCAGUGGUCAAGCUGUGGCAGGGGGGUACAUAGGGCUGCUCUGUGAGGGGGGGCUGGGACUGCCCCAUGCUACACACAGCUGGUUCUAGACGGCUCCAGCAGCCCUACUUCAAAGUAUGGGGCAAAGCAUAUUAAAGGGAAGAAAAUGCCUGUUGGAAGAUGAUGCAACAGAAGGAAAGCCAACGUCACAGCAGGAGGAGGUGCCUCAGAGCCGAUAUCCCUGAAGCCCAUAGAGGCCACGUGCCAGAGCAGGGAGAAGAGCAAGGAGGAAGGAGCAGCAGAGAGGAGCCAUCCUGGGCUGACCCUGCUCCACUUGGAGUGGGAGAGGAGCCCUGAAACAAAGCUGAGCCUGAGGAAGAGAAAUGACAAAAAGGGAGGAUUCCUCACCAAAUGCGCAGUGAGACUGUGGAACAAGAUUAUAGUGAGAUUACAUGAAAGCUACAAGUUUAAAGAGUUCAAAAGAAAAAACGAAGAGUUCAAAGCAGAGACAUCCACUGAGAGGUUUUAAAUAUAUAGAAACUUUCUCAACUUGAGGAAGAACCUAUGCCAAAAAAGACUGGAAGCUGUGGACUUUUAUAGAGCAUAUUAUACAUGUUCUUAAUCUUCUUUUGUGGAAAUGAAAAAUCUCCCACUGAUACCUGUGCAUCACAGCUGAGCUUUUCUAAGACAUGGAAUAUGGCUUAGUCUCUGUGUGCAGCAGAAGGCAUAAGGAGAAGUCAGAAUUUUUUUACAUUAUUACCAUGAAGAUAAUUGGAUAGGCUUUCUAUAUAUCUGUCAGGAAUCUGCUUCCUACCUGAAGAUGAUGGUACUGAAGCACCAGGAACAGCACCAGCAACAUCUUAGGAGAUGUAAACCAAAGGACCCCAGUGAGAAACUUGGGGUCCCUAGAACAGAAGCUGUUUUAAGGAAGAAAAAAGAUAGGAUUCAACUCAUGUGCUGUUAAAAGAUGUUGCAUCUCACCUAAUCUCCCUGGAUGAGGCUCACAAGAUAGCUACAGAGAUAAGUUUAUUUUACCACUCUCUACAACUUCCCAUCUCUUUCCAGUGCCUAUGGAUUGCCUCCACUACAUUAAAUAUCCUACUAAAACAAGGUGGGGGCAAUUUCCAUGCUUGUUACCCUGAAAUAUUAAACACAUGUUCGGUCUAACAAGUCGCACUUUGAGCAUGAAUGCCUUGGAGUUUACCCAGUUCAUCCUCCAGCCUUGUCUAUCUCCUCUGCCUUUCCUGCAUAACCAUGAGUACUACCUGUGCUCAGUGUGUGUUUCUGCAAAAUGGAACAAGGAUGCUUGAAGUGCUUGGAAGUCUGAAGUAAAGAGCUGACUUUUAAGAUAUACUAUUAACAUGUCCUGAAAAGUCUGUUUAAAUCCAAGGAAUUUUCAGAUGAAAAUGAGAGAAGAAAAUAACUGAAUUGACCAGCAGAAAAGAAAGAUUCAUACAGUGAAGAUGAAAAUUUCAUCUGCAAUAUGAAAAGCUAGUUCAAAUUUCGAAGUACAUUGCAAAGAUAUUGGCUUAGCUUCUCAUUCCAGACAAUGUCAGUAACAAUUUUAUUAGGCAGAGGCCUUUUUAUGCUAUCUUGAUCCCUGAUAAUUAGUAGUAGGGAUAAAUUUAUAGUGCUUAGAGUUGGCCACUCAUUUCACAGAAACCAUAGCACUUCAUCUUCUGCACAGCAUAAGGCGGCUUCAAGACUGAUCUCACUUGCUCUUUCUUCCCUCUCCCAUUAUACAGCAUGGCAGCCCCUGGGAUUUCAUGCAGAACCAGCUCAUAAUUGAUCCUUCCAAACAUAUCCCCAUAAAUAAGUACUUCAGAAGCAUCUUCUGCAGUUGCUGCUUAAACAAGGCAGUCCCUUGUCUCACAGUAACUCACCACAUCAUACAAAAGCAGACCUAGGCUUUGCCUCAUCUAGGAUGACUG